CUCAAAUAGUGUGUGACU
RNAcentral lists this ribosomal RNA (18 nucleotides) under Ochlerotatus hexodontus. RNAcentral describes it as "partial 28S ribosomal RNA". The record is from RNAcentral. Lineage: Eukaryota; Metazoa; Arthropoda; Insecta; Diptera; Culicidae.